Molecule: ribosomal RNA, 207 nt
Filed under: uncultured bacterium
Lineage: Bacteria
Description: partial 16S ribosomal RNA
Rfam family: Bacterial small subunit ribosomal RNA
Source: RNAcentral
UGCGUAGGUGGCGCUGUAAGUCAGGUGUGAAAUUUCGGAGCUUAACUCCGAAACUGCAUUUGAUACUGCGGUGCUUGAGGACUGGAGAGGAGAUUGGAAUUCACGGUGUAGCAGUGAAAUGCGUAGAUAUCGUGAGGAAGACCAGUGGCGAAGGCGGAUCUCUGGACAGUUCCUGACACUGAGGCACGAAGGCCAGGGGAGCAAACG